This 468-nucleotide ribosomal RNA is filed under the name uncultured bacterium. Its description in RNAcentral is "partial 16S ribosomal RNA". It matches the Rfam family "Bacterial small subunit ribosomal RNA", at positions 28 to 507 of the family's 1533-position model. The record is from RNAcentral.
GACGAACGCUGGCGGCGUGCUUAACACAUGCAAGUCGAACGGAAAGGCCCUGCUUUUGUGGGGUGCUCGAGUGGCGAACGGGUGAGUAACACGUGAGUAACCUGCCCUUGACUUUGGGAUAACUUCAGGUAACUGGGGCUAAUACCGGAUAGGAGCUCCUGCUGCAUGGUGGGGGUUGGAAAUUUUCGGCGUGUUGGGAUGGACUCGCGGCUUAUCAGCUUGUUGGUGGGGUAGUGGCUUACCAAGGCUUUGACGGGUAGCCGGCCUGAGAGGGUGACCGGCCACAUUGCGACUGAGAUACGGCCCAGACUCCUACGGGAGGCAGCAGUGGGGAAUAUUGCACAAUGGGCGGAAGCCUGAUGCAGCAACGCCGCGUGCGGGAUGACGGCCUUCGGGUUGUAAACCGCUUUCGCCUGUGACGACGCGUGAGUGACGGUAAUGGGUAAAGAAGCACCGGCUAACUACGUG